This 247-nucleotide long non-coding RNA is filed under the name Olea europaea (common olive). Its description in RNAcentral is "long non-coding RNA (OEUR_LNC005096)". Lineage: Eukaryota; Viridiplantae; Streptophyta; Magnoliopsida; Lamiales; Oleaceae. The record is from RNAcentral.
UGAUUUAUCAUUGAGAACUAUUGAUCAGGGCUCAAAGCUGAUAUUCAAAAGUAUUAUCUUUGAACCAAAUGAAGAGUCAAAGGUAUUUAACUCAAUUCAAUUACAUACAAACAGAAAAAAUAAAAAGAAAUUAAACCCUUUUUUCCUCUUGUUUGAAAAAGAAAAUUAAAAUACAAAGGCAAUCAUGUAAUCCCAUCAAACAGGGGAAUAAUUACUUUUCAGACCAAAAAAAAAAAAAAAAAAANNN